Molecule: long non-coding RNA, 896 nt
Organism: Rosa rugosa (rugosa rose)
Lineage: Eukaryota; Viridiplantae; Streptophyta; Magnoliopsida; Rosales; Rosaceae
Exons: 4
Source: RefSeq, a predicted model, not a curated record
AUAUCAAGCAUGUAUGUGUGUGUGUGUCUAUAUAUAUAUAUAUACACAGAGUCCUUCCAAUGAGGGAUCCCUAUUUUUUGCCAACUUGAGGGACACGCUCGCAGCCGUUGGAUCUGUUUUAAUGACCUUGGAUGGCUGAGAUCAAGUUAAGUGAUUUACCCCAUUCUAAACUAUAUCACCCGAGUUCCAGAACUACCCAAUUCUCUCUGUCUCUCACGAGUAUCAACGCUCAGAGAAUUCACCGAUUCGCAUCUCAAGCACAUCUCUUGCUUCAAAUUCUCUAGAAAUCAGCCCAUCAAUCCAGAUUCCAGAGCAAUCCCACCGGCCACCGCCAUUGAUUGGAAGAGAUGUUCUCGGAGCUGCAAGGAUAGGGUCCGGGAAGACCGGAAGACUCUUGCUUUUCUAGUACCAGCUAUGGAGUUGUCAUAUAAACAUAUCCUAUGUUUGUCCCCUCCUAAAGUCUUGAUCAGAAGAAAGAAAAUGCAUACAGAUUGAAACUUUCAUGGAAGGGUUUUUGUACUUUGAUUGAGAAGCUGCUAAAGUUUCCAGCUCCAAUGGUGCCCAACCAAGCAAUGUGAAACUUUAGCAAAUCUUUUUCAUUCUUGCCUUAUGAUCCGUUGAGCAAUGAGGAGAGCCAUGUUGGAUACGUGCUGAAGAGGAUGAAGAAGCCAGCCAAACACCCCUUACCAUUGAUGUUGUCACUAUCUGUUUUCCUAUUUGUUGUAUCAAUACAAUUCAUGUUUCUUUAUUAUGCAAUUCUAGUCUCUUGUUGGUCUCAAAAUGGCUAUUAAUGCUCAUUAUCAAAUGUUACUCUGUAGUUGAGAUUGGAAAGUAAUGUUCUGAACUAGUGUAUGUAUUUUUUAAAAUAAAUAUAUGUGAUCGUUUCUAUCUGUCAA